Schizosaccharomyces pombe (fission yeast) is the source of this 909-nucleotide non-coding RNA. The record is from the annotation of a GenBank genome assembly. Lineage: Eukaryota; Fungi; Ascomycota; Schizosaccharomycetes; Schizosaccharomycetales; Schizosaccharomycetaceae.
CAGUUUCCGAAAUCAAUGACGAUGUAGCAACACAAACAAGAAGUGAAAAAAUGACCGUAAAACUGAUUGUCACUCUUAAAUGCCUAAAUAAUCAUUUUUCCCGUCAAUUCACACUACUUAAUGUUGAACUAAAAAGCAUUAAGUAUUUAAAGAAAUGAAACGAAACGAAAUACAAUUCAAGCUUCUAUUAACUCAAGGGACUCAUGGAACGUUACAUUUCCCUAUAGUGAUCGUCGGCGUAUUCAUUUACACUUACCGAUGUACCGUGGGAUAUACACAUGUGAUUAGCUGAAAAACCCUCAAUAGGUAAAUAAACAAUGAUUAAAUAGUUUUUGUUUUCUCUUAGUGAAAAAUUAAGUAGACAGUAAUGACCAUGAGUCCUAUGACUUUUUAAAGGCCUAAGGUGAUCGAUGGAAAUGCAAAAUCUGUUCUUUGCAUAAAACAAAAUCACUAGCUCCGAGUGUAAUGAAGUGUGACAAUGUUUGACCAAUUUGCCCAUUCCAUAUCAAUCCAUCCUCUCGUUAUGCCUCGUGAGGAAACGGUCAGUCGAUUGUUAAAUUGUUCAUCAAAAUUUGCUAGAUAUGCUAAACAUAGCAAAUCAAACGAAACUAUGAAGCUAAAAAAGUCUUUGUUUUGGCCAUGUGGAAAUGGAACGGCUACAUGGAAAUCUUCAUGACCCACUUAACGACACUAUACGCUCUAGACAAUAACAACUUGCCGACAAGAAACCGAGUUUGUUUACUCUGGGUGUUGCACAACAACCCGCUAUGGGUAUUCCAGCUAAAUCCUAGUAUUCUCUCGGGAUUGACAAGAAACGCCAAGUCUGCGAAGAGUAGCGUUAUGAUUCACUGACUCGACAUAUGACACAGCAAACUCCUUAUCAUCAGUACUGUUAGUGUAUCUACUAUU